CUUGCCGGCUUGCCGCACCUCACUAGCAAGUCCGUUUCUACAAUGGCACUAGGAUUCCAGAGUGUACUGAAAACCAGCUGAGACAUCCAGCCCCGUGGACUGAGCAGCUCCAACCUGCCAUACAUAGACAGCCUUUGUUGGACUAGCUAAACCAGAGCCUGUGAGUCAUUCUAAUUCAUGAAUCUAUAUUAAUGAUUCUAUAUACAGAGAGAGGUGCCUUCUGUAAGUUCUGUUGCUCUAGAGAACCCUGAUGAAGACAGAUGGUCAGUUCCUCCUACCCCACUCUGGCCUUACAGCGAGCUAGUCUGAGCUCCGCCUCAGACCCCUGCACAAGGUUUCCUCUGCUCACUCUGCUGCCUGCUUGAGAUGUGGAUGUGUGGCCCCACCUGGACAUCCUACAAGCCUGGCAGGGUGUUGGGACUGUCCUAUAAAACUCCACAUCCUACAACCUGACAGCUACAGCGGAGAUGUGCCCCAAGAGCAGGAUCAAUAGACAUCUUCCCAACAUGUAAAUUCUUUGGCCACUGGGUGAGCUUUAAAGUGCAUCUUUGUAUUUAUAUGAUUUUCUUUUUUUUACUUGCGAAUGAUGAGAUGACUCCACCCCUGUCCCCUAAAGUCCCAAGUCCCUGUUAGCAGCAUUGAACAGGAGUCUGGACCUCAGGAGCUGACUUUGGUUUCCCUUUGGGGAGGGGACUUCAGAACACAUGCCAUGUCUCAGACUCUGACCUGCUCUUCUGUUUUUUAAAAGAUUCUCUUCCUAUCAUCUUUUGACUUCAUGUGAGUAUGGGAAAGCUUGAGCGAGGUGGGGGUUGGGGGAAACACAGCUGCUAUCCUGGCACUUGGGUGGUGCAGGCCUAAGAUUAGAAGUUCAAGGUUCUUUCAGGCUACACAGUGCGUGUGAGGCCAGACGAGGCUACAUGGACACUUGGAGAGCUUUGGCAAGAAAAGGGAGUUAUGGGUUAGAAGGGUGGAGAGUGGUUCUGAGACUGAGUCACCACUGUCUUCAGCUCUCACCAUAGCAACCCGUACAUUCAUUCUCAGUUUAGUCAGGUCCCAGGAAGAGGGGCUGGCGCCUUCUCCCUAUACUGCUAACCGCAGUUUCUUUCCUUCUUACUUAGCUCCCAAGGCAAUCUCAGUGCAGUUUCUGUUUCUGUUUUUAUGAGGUCCACCCCUCUGCAAAAUCACCUGAUCACUGGUGAGAACGAAGGAGUGAACACUCUCACACACGGCCUGUGUUUAGAUGUGAAUGUCCUUUAACCCAGUUAUCUACUUAUACAAAUAGCAUAAGGAUAAUCUCAAAUGCAGGCAGACUGUGAUUAUUAUAUAAUCUGCGACAGGUGAGCCCUCAUUAAGCAAGGCUGUGAGGGACUAAUUUUAGGAAAGAUUCCUGUUAUUAAUAUGCUUUUCCUGUAAUUGUUAAACAUGUAUAACAAUCACUAAGUAGUAGUAUAUCCCUUUGGAGCAGAUCUCUGCAGAUCCACAAAGAUGUACUAUCUUGUAAUGAUGCUAUAUAGACAAAUAAAUGACUUAAGUCUUAAUGAUUGUAUUAGUCAGGGUUCUCUGGAGUCACAGAACUUAUGGAUAGUCUCUAUAUAGUAAAGGAACUUAUUGAUGACUUACAGUCUGAUUAUUUCCUUUUCCCUCUGAAAUUUCACAAGCCAGGCCUCCGUCUUCUGCACUGUUCUCAACAUUAUCUUCCAAGCUCCUACACAACAUCUGACAGAGCUCUUAACACCGAAUGGAUCUUCUGGCCCAAGUUCCAAAAACCUUCCACAGUCCUCCCCAAAACAUGAUCAGGUUGUCACAGGAAUACCCCACUCCUGGUACCAAUUUGUCUUAGUCAGGGUUUCUAUUCCUGCACAAACAUCAUGACCAAGAAGCAAGUUGGGGAGGAAAGGGUUUAUUCAGCUUACACUUCCAUACUGCUGUUUAUCACCAAGGAAGUCAGGACUGGAACUCAAACAGGUCAGGAAGCAGGAGCUGAUGCAGAGGCCAUGGAGCAAUGUUCUUUACUGGCUUGCUUCUCCUGGCUUGCUCAGCCUGCUUUCUUAUAGAACCCAAGACUACCAGCCACAAGGGGCCUUUCCCCCUUGAUCACUAAUUGAGAAAAUGCCUUACAGUUGGAGCUCAUAGAGGCAUUUCCUCAACUGAAGCUCCUUUCUCUGUGAUAACUCCAGCUGUAUCAAAUUGACACAAAACCAGCCAGUACAAUGAUGAUCCUAUAAGAAUUCCUAAAAUUAUAUCUGUGAUUAUUAAGCUCUUUUAGAAUGGGACUGCUGUUAAGUCCUCUUUUGAUAAGUCAAAGCUGCAAUGAGAACUCUGCCAGUCUUCCAAGUAUCACCAGUUAAUUGCUCUUAGAUGGUAACAAGACUUUCUCCUACUCAGAGCACAUUCCAAAAGGUCAUAAAACAAUUAACCAAAGGCCAUAAAAAGGGAACUAAUGAUUUAUUAUGGGUACUAGGACAGAAGAUAAAAUCCUGUCUGGGUUUAUCUAUACAAAACUUCACUAAUAACUUAGUUACGGUUUUAAACCUUCAGUGAGCCUGUGGAGCUCAGACAGGUGAUGGAUGUUUAGCUAGAUAGUUACUCCUAAUGGAUAAGCAUGUAAACAUUUGCCGGUGUAAACUUCUGUUUCAAUUUAUGAUUUGAUUUUGUGUGUGAACUUGUGAUGCACUUUGUAACAUGUGAUCAUGUAUUCUGAAUGAUGUUUAAGAGCAGAGGACAAAGAGAAGAGUCAGAACUGGGGACAGGGGUGAGAGGAACCGAGGUGAGAAGAACUGAGCUGAGAGAGAAACUGAGCUGAGGAGAAGUUUUUAGACAGAACAUUUUUUAGAUUAGAAGAAGAAUGCAGAGUGGAGUAACUUAGAAAUGAUAGGUCACAUAAAAUACUAAGAGAGCAAUGUGCAGAAUGCAGAGGAAAAGAGGAAGAAAGAGGAUGUCGCAGAGAGCAGAAGGAGCAGGCAGGCUUCUCCUUAUCAUGGGACAGAACAGGCCCCAUGGUAAGGACAAGGCAGGUUUAGUCUUAUUAAAAGAAACAAAGCUUUUUUUUCUUACAAACAUGGGUUUAAUUCAUUUAACAUUAAAAAGGGUAGAAGCCUUUUCUUUCUCUAUGUAAUAAAGAUUGGAAUGC
Molecule: long non-coding RNA, 3130 nt
Filed under: Mus musculus (house mouse)
Lineage: Eukaryota; Metazoa; Chordata; Mammalia; Rodentia; Muridae
Description: long non-coding RNA chr15:77740760-77743890
Source: RNAcentral